Molecule: long non-coding RNA, 1432 nt
Organism: Limulus polyphemus (Atlantic horseshoe crab)
Lineage: Eukaryota; Metazoa; Arthropoda; Merostomata; Xiphosura; Limulidae
Exons: 3
Source: RefSeq, a predicted model, not a curated record
UUGUCUAACGCUGUUUGAUAUAAUAUGAUAUGUCUCUAUAAAAGAUACAAAACACAAAAUACGAUUUCUUAUCAAUGUAGAAGUUUGUAUGUUUGUUUUCACAACAAUUAAGACUACGCCCACCAGUCUUAUCAGUAGGCUUUUAUCACCACAACGUGUUAUCAGCAAUUUACUUCAACUACGCUAAAGUUCAAGCUAUCAAAGUCUGAGAAAACGACAUGGAUUGGAAAAGACCGUGUUAUUUCCAGGUGUGACAACUGGUAUUUACCUGGUCUCCGUGACGUAACAUCAGGACAGCAGCUGGUGACUGUCACGAAUGGUUGCAGAUGAUGAGAUCUAUAAAACAAUUCUCUUGGAAAUUGUUCCGAAAUCUGUUCAUCAGGCCUGACGAAGUUACUGUAUAAGUAGUGAACUGAUGGGGUGGAGUAAUGGGAAAAUGCGAUCUUAGCCAGAGUGGAGCAGUCAAGAUAAAAGACAACGAUUUACUGCAGUUCAGUAAAAUCAUCAAAAUAGCCAGAACCGGAUUUCUUGCCAAAAUCGUAAAAUUUAUUUUAAAAAACUCAAGUAAUUAAUUACUUCAAGUUACAUAAGUAAGCCUAAGUUAUAAAUAAAUACUUAAGCCUAAGUAUUAACAAAAUAUAUAAGGCAAGUUCUUUAUAUGGGGAACAUUUUUCAAAAUCAUAAGAAUUUACUUUGUAUACAAAAGACAUAAAAAACGUACUUCAACUUAAAAGAAAGUGCCGAUAAUUUUUAAAAUUUUUGUUCUAACACUCAUGUGCACAAAAGACAAAAACUAAAAACAGACUUCAACAUAAAACAAAGUGCCGAUAAUGUUUUUAAUUUUUAUGCUACAGCUCAUCUUCCGUAGCGAAGAACGCGGAAAACGUAUUCAAGGUAAAAAUUAGAAAAAAAAAGUAUUCAGUAAGAUAACACAGCUGACAUGUAACGCAUGGAAUCUUGAAUAGAGUUUAAAGUUGUUUUUUUUUCACUUUUCUGCCACCAACUACUCGUGAUGCGUUAUGUAAAGCUAAACUUAACAACUACCAAUUGUACUAGUGUUGUCGAUAUUGUAGCUUGAAUGAGAGGAUAUGUCUAUCAAGAAAUGUUAAAUCUAUAUACCAACUGAAUACAGUAUCAUUGUAAAGAGAAACUUUCCGGUUUUUAUUGUAUGGAUAGAAACUAAAGUACUUCAAAAUCUAAGCAGUAAAUUUUUGUAUAUUCCAGAUAAGAAAAAAAAAUCACUUCAAAAUUGAAAGUGAACAAAUAAGUUUCAAUAUUAGUAUCACGAGGAUUGAACACUAAAUUUUAGCGUUUAAGACCUAAAGCUUACUGCUGAGCCACUGAUGGGUUUGACAUUUGUUGAUAAUAGAUAAUAGAUUAUCCUCAUGAGGAUAAUAGAUGUCUUUUUUUAUCCUUCUUCCAAAUAAACUGA